Molecule: ribosomal RNA, 720 nt
Filed under: uncultured bacterium
Lineage: Bacteria
Description: bacterial SSU rRNA
Rfam family: Bacterial small subunit ribosomal RNA
Source: RNAcentral
AGAGUUUGAUCAUGGCUCAGGAUGAACGCUGGCGGCGUGCCUAACACAUGCAAGUCGAGCGAGAAAUAACUUCAUGAAUUCUUCGGAACGAUUGAAGUUGUGGAAAGCGGCGGACGGGUGAGUAACGCGUGGGCAACCUGCCCUAUACAGAGGGAUAGCCACUGGAAACGGUGAUUAAUACCUCAUGACACUGCAAUAUCGCAUGAUGAUGCAGUCAAAGAUUUAUCGGUAUAGGAUGGGCCCGCGUCUGAUUAGCUAGUUGGUAAGGUAAUGGCUUACCAAGGCUUCGAUCAGUAGCCGACCUGAGAGGGUGAUCGGCCACACUGGAACUGAGACACGGUCCAGACUCCUACGGGAGGCAGCAGUGGGGAAUAUUGCACAAUGGGGGAAACCCUGAUGCAGCAACGCCGCGUGAGCGAUGAAGGCUUUCGGGUCGUAAAGCUCUGUCCUAAGGGAAGAAUAGAUGACGGUACCUUAGGAGGAAGCCCCGGCUAACUACGUGCCAGCAGCCGCGGUAAUACGUAGGGGGCAAGCGUUAUCCGGAAUCAUUGGGCGUAAAGGGUGCGUAGGCGGCCAGAAAAGUCAGAGGUGAAAGGCUACGGCUUAACCGUAGUAAGCCUUUGAAACUAUUUGGCUUGAGUGCAGGAGAGGAAAGUGGAAUUCCUAGUGUAGCGGUGAAAUGCGUAGAUAUUAGGAGGGACACCAGUGGCGAAGGCGACU